CCUACGGGAGGCUGCAGUGAGGAAUAUUGGUCAAUGGGAGAGAUCCUGAACCAGCCAAGCCGCGUGAGGGAAGACGGCCCUAUGGGUUGUAAACCUCUUUUGUCGGAGAACAAAACCCGGGACGUGUCCCGGACUGCGUGUAUCCGAAGAAAAAGCAUCGGCUAACUCCGUGCCAGCAGCCGCGGUAAUACGGAGGAUGCGAGCGUUAUCCGGAUUUAUUGGGUUUAAAGGGUGCGUAGGCGGUCCGUUAAGUCAGCGGUAAAAUUGCGGGGCUCAACCUGUGGCCUGCAUUUGAAACUGUUUUUCGUGAGUACUGGAGAGGCAGACGGAAUUCCUAGUGUAGCGGUGAAAUGCGUAGAUAUUAGGAGGAACACCAGUGGCGAAGGCGGUCUGCUGGACAGCAACUGACGCUGAGGCGCGAAAGCGUGGGGAGCAAACAGGAUUAGAUACCCUUGUAGUC
This 460-nucleotide ribosomal RNA is filed under the name uncultured bacterium. Its description in RNAcentral is "partial 16S ribosomal RNA". It matches the Rfam family "Bacterial small subunit ribosomal RNA", at positions 338 to 795 of the family's 1533-position model. The record is from RNAcentral.